This 1525-nucleotide long non-coding RNA is filed under the name Papio anubis (olive baboon). RNAcentral describes it as "lncRNA (ENSPANG00000037503.1)". The record is from RNAcentral. Lineage: Eukaryota; Metazoa; Chordata; Mammalia; Primates; Cercopithecidae.
GCAAUUUCAUGCUUCUAGACACGAUGUCGGCAUUCCAGGACAGCAGCAGAAAGUGUAGAAAAAUAAAAAAGUCCUACCUCCCUAAUGAGUCAACUGCACUUAAGGAGCCAUCCCAGAAGUUUCACACAGAGACGGGGUUUCACUGCGUUAGCCAGGAUGGUCUCGAUUUCCUGACCUCGUGAUCCGCCCGCCUCAGCCUCCCAAAGUGCUGGGAUUACAGGAGUGAGCCACCACGCCCGACCUCACACAGCUUAUUUUAAUACAGUUGCAUCCAGAUGCAAGGGAUGCUGGGAAACGUUUGGUAUUGUGCUCAGCUAAAGUUGAGAUUACGUUAGUGAAAAUGAGACCUUGCACACUGGAAGGUUAAAAGCAAUCUCUCAUGACAACAAUAAAGAAAUUGAAUUAAAACUUUAAGCAAUGUGAUAAACCUAUGGAAUGUUAACAGGCAAAAAUAGCAACAUUAAAAAUUGCAGUGAAGAAAUAAGGUAUGAUUCGUUUGUAGAUGGUUUGUGUGUCAUUAAUCUAGGCAAAAACUGAUAAACUCUUCUAAUAGUGAUGAAACGUAUAAAAGAAAUAAUAAUACACACUAUGGCUAACAACAUUCCAUUUUGGCAUAUUUACUCUUGCUAAGUCUCUAUGCUUAGCAUCAGAAAUGUACAGUUUUGAUAGCCUAUGAUGUCAACAUGUUCAGUUUGAUAGUAGAAAAGACAUAACAUGAAGACAAACCAAUGAACAAAUAAGAAUAAAAACUGUUAAAAAAGAACAAUAUUAUAAGAACAUAAGGAUGUGAUAAUGUAUUUGAUAGUUUUAUUGUUUUAUAGUUUGAUAAUACAAAUUUACUGCUCCUUCAAUGUUAGAAUCAAUAGAAUUACAGCAGAAGUAAUUAAACAGAUAAAGAUCAAAAUGUCACCUUUAUUACUUACGGUUUGAAAAAUAGUCUAAGGCUGGUUUUGUAGGGUUGCUCCUAUCCAUCACCUGAUGUGAACUUUCUUAGGAAGCUUCAGGACUACCCCAAAGAACCAGAACCUGCUCUUUCACUCUGUUGCCUUGUGUGGAGUGCAGACCAUCAUGACUGCUCUCUAUAAGAAAAAGAAAGGAACUGAUUAAGAAACGCACAACAGUUGGUGAAUUGAGAAUUGCACAAUAGGUAUGAAAUUGGUUAGCUUUCUAAACUCACCAAUCUCAUAACUAGCACCUGUUCCCAUGCAGUGAAUGAGUAAAGGAUGGACAGAGUCCAUAAUGAUUAUUCUAGGGAAAUCCUUCUGAGUAGAAAGAGGAGAGUUUUGCAAACAGUUUUGUGUAGUUUACUCUUAUCUAUGCACUGAUAAUAAAUAAGAGUUCCUAAAAUUCUCUCUAGAACUCUAGGUAAAUGAGAUAUUUCACUGCUCAUGCUGUGUGACCUUCAUAUCCCAUCUGCCUAGACUGUAAAUAUGCUUUCUGAAUUUUAAAAGAAUUAGUAUACUAUGCUUACAUUAAGCAAAAAAGUACCCUUAUUAUGCAGGAUCAAGUAACACUCUAAAGAUUC